AUGAACGCUGGCGGCGUGCCUAAUACAUGCAAGUCGAGCGAACAGACGAGGAGCUUGCUCCUCUGACGUUAGCGGCGGACGGGUGAGUAACACGUGGAUAACCUACCUAUAAGACUGGGAUAACUUCGGGAAACCGGAGCUAAUACCGGAUAAUAUAUUGAACCGCAUGGUUCAAUAGUGAAAGACGGUUUUGCUGUCACUUAUAGAUGUAUCCGCGCCGCAUUAGCUAGUUGGUAAGGUAACGGCUUACCAAGGCAACGAUGCGUAGCCGACCGGAGAGGGGGAUCGGCCACACUGGAACUGAGACACGGUCCAGACUCCUACGGGAGGCAGCAGUAGGGAAUCUUCCGCAAUGGGCGAAAGCCUGACGGAGCAACGCGGGGUGAGUGAUGAAGGUCUUCGGAUCGUAAAACUCUGUUAUUAGGGAAGAACAAAUGUGUAAGUAACUAUGCACGUCUUGACGGUACCUAAUCAGAAAGCCACGGCUAACUACGUG
RNAcentral lists this ribosomal RNA (496 nucleotides) under uncultured bacterium. RNAcentral's name for it is "partial 16S ribosomal RNA". It matches the Rfam family "Bacterial small subunit ribosomal RNA", at positions 29 to 507 of the family's 1533-position model. The record is from RNAcentral.